CAGUAGCCACGGGAAUACGAAGGGUGCAAGCGUUACUCGGAAUUACUGGGCGUAAAGCGUGCGUAGGUGGUGGUUUAAGUCCGUUGUGAAAGCCCUGGGCUCAACCUGGGAAUUGCAGUGGAUACUGGGUCACUAGAGUGUGGUAGAGGAUAGUGGAAUUUCCGGUGUAGCAGUGAAAUGCGUAGAGAUCGGAAGGAACAUCUGUGGCGAAGGCGACUAUCUGGGCCAACACUGACACUGAGGCACGAAAGCGUGGGGAGCAAACAGGAUUAGAUACCCCCGUAGUCCUUGUCUCUUAUAA
This 301-nucleotide ribosomal RNA is filed under the name uncultured bacterium. RNAcentral describes it as "partial 16S ribosomal RNA". It matches the Rfam family "Bacterial small subunit ribosomal RNA", at positions 509 to 809 of the family's 1533-position model. The record is from RNAcentral.